Molecule: long non-coding RNA, 548 nt
Organism: Entelurus aequoreus (snake pipefish)
Lineage: Eukaryota; Metazoa; Chordata; Actinopteri; Syngnathiformes; Syngnathidae
Exons: 3
Source: RefSeq, a predicted model, not a curated record
GAGCAGGGGUGUCAAACGUACGGCCCGAGGGCCGGAUCAGGCCCGCGAACAGGUUUUAUCCAACCCGCGGGAUGAUUUUGCGUCUCCUCCUGCUGAGCGCACCGCGGGAUACGCCCACGGGCGUUCCCCUACGGCUGCAGUCGCGCCUCCGCGUGGCUGCAUAGAAUCAACAAUCAACACACCUGCCCGUGAUGAGAGACCUGCCUUCUUAAGCCAGCGCAUCCUGAGAUCCAGUGCCAGAACUGUUGUCAUCCAGCUUACCAUCUUCCUUCCCCGUUGUCGAGCUGUGUGUCUCGUCUUCCCGGAUCCCCUCUGGACUCUCUGCUGCCUCUCUGGAUUUCCACCUCACGCCUGCCCUUUAACCACGAAGCCUCGCUCCAGCCCUUGACCUUCCUCCUGUCUUUGGACUUCCAAGCCUGCCUUUCCCUCUUUGGACUUCCGCCUCGAUUCCAACAUGCACCUUCAACACCCUCUGGUAACAACUCACAUAUACUUACCACAUAGUCACACUACAUUAAUUUUGAGUACGCACACACCUCACCUACAUU